RNAcentral lists this ribosomal RNA (506 nucleotides) under uncultured bacterium. RNAcentral's name for it is "partial 16S ribosomal RNA". It matches the Rfam family "Bacterial small subunit ribosomal RNA", at positions 29 to 523 of the family's 1533-position model. The record is from RNAcentral.
AGUGAACGCUGGCGGUAGGCCUAACACAUGCAAGUCGAACGGCAGCACAGGAGAGCUUGCUCUCUGGGUGGCGAGUGGCGGACGGGUGAGGAAUACAUCGGAAUCUACUUUUUCGUGGGGGAUAACGUAGGGAAACUUACGCUAAUACCGCAUACGACCUACGGGUGAAAGCAGGGGAUCUUCGGACCUUGCGCGAUUGAAUGAGCCGAUGUCGGAUUAGCUAGUUGGCGGGGUAAAGGCCCACCAAGGCGACGAUCCGUAGCUGGUCUGAGAGGAUUAUCAGCCACACGGGAACUGAGACACGGUCCAGACUCCUACGGGAGGCAGCAGUGGGGAAUAUUGGACAAUGGGCGCAAGCCUGAUCCAGCCAUACCGCGUGGGUGAAGAAGGCCUUCGGGUUGUAAAGCCCUUUUGUUGGGAAAGAAAUCCAGCUGGUUAAUACCCGGUUGGGAUGACGGUACCCAAAGAAUAAGCACCGGCUAACUUCGUGCCAGCCGCCGCAGUAA